RNAcentral lists this long non-coding RNA (1503 nucleotides) under Vulpes vulpes (red fox). RNAcentral describes it as "lncRNA (ENSVVUG00000010393.1)". The record is from RNAcentral. Lineage: Eukaryota; Metazoa; Chordata; Mammalia; Carnivora; Canidae.
GCUCCAUGCACCGGGAGCCCGACGUGGGAUUCGAUCCCGGGUCUCCAGGAUCGCGCCGUGGGCCAAAGACAGGCGCCAAACCGCUGCGCCACCCAGGGAUCCCCUAAUGUUUAUUUUUUAUGUUUACCCCCUGCGAGGGUAUAUGCUAUAGCAGGCAUCUGUGUUUUAUUCCUAAUGUAUCUUAUGACCCUAGAAUACUGCUCCAGGCAAGCCAACCGAACUUGAUGGCAAUCACAAAUGUCACCGGUCAGCCUAUACACUAUACAUUUCCCUUUUGCUGGGUGUUACAAUGUCUGCUGGUUAUUCCAUCUCUUCUGGCUAAUGCUAUUAUUGCUCCCAGUAGAAUCACAGCGCUCACCCCACCACCUUGACUCUUUCAUUGAGCACUACCACUGGCUUACUGGAGACAUGGUGAUUACACAGAUGUCUAUAAAAACAGGCAAGAUACCUUUAUGUGUGUAAUGCUUUGCAGGAGGGGGACCCCAGAAUAUUUCCUUACUUGUAGAACUUUGCUAAGCAGCAUGUCCUAUUGAAAGAAACCAUAUUAUUCUUUCAAUCACUUCUGCUUUCUAGUUCCUUAGCAUUUUUAAAAACAUGUUUGAUUAGCACUAGACCAAGUGCUAGGUAUGCAUUUUUUUAAUUCUCAAAACAACCUUGAGAGACAAGUGUUAUUUUCCAAUUUUAUAGAUAAAUAACCCAAGGUCAGAGAGCUAAAUACUUUCCAAAUGUGUAGCUAGUAGCUCUGCGGUAGGAUUCAAAGCCAGGAUCAGUUGGAUCCUAUAGUAGAUAAUUGAUCCUGCCACCGGAGCUACUUUGCUGACCAUCCCAUCCUCCAGUAGAUAUGACUCAGUGAUUUGCUGUCUCCCCAGAGACUAUGAUUAUUCCUCUUCCUACAAGUAGCUCUUGACCAAUGACUGAAUUACAUAUGGGGUUACAAAGGGCUAACCCCUUGUUUCAAAGGGAAGCUAAUUCUGUGGUGCAGUUUACACUCCAGAGCUUCCUGUGAGAGCAAACAGAAAUUAGUCUCUAUCCCAGACACAGUCUUGCUUCCUUUGACUUAGUCUAUUUCUUUUACUUUUGAGAGGACACCCCGAUGAAACUUAUCUCUAAGGAACCUGACCUAGGAUAGACUCCUAACCCUCUUCGUUCAUUCUUUCUUUCUUUUCUUUUCUUUUCUUUUCUUUUCUUUUCUUUUCUUUUCUUUUCUCUUUUCUUUUCUUUUCUUUUCUUUCUUUUCUUUUCUUUUCUUUUUUUUCUUUUUUCUUUCUUUUCUUUUCCUUUUCUCUUUUCUUUUCUUUUAUUUCUUUUUUCCCUUCUUUCUUAGAUUUAUUUAUUUGAAAGAGAGAGAGACAGAAGAGUGAGUGGGGUUGGGGAGUAAAAGGGGAGGGGGAGGGACAAGCAGACUCAUACUGAGCUCAGAGCCCUGCACAGGGCUUGAUGGCAGGACCCUGGAGCACUCAUGUAAAUGGUAAGGCAAUAAAUUGAAAGCCUGUGGUGAAUACA